Molecule: ribosomal RNA, 1381 nt
Filed under: uncultured bacterium
Lineage: Bacteria
Description: bacterial SSU rRNA
Rfam family: Bacterial small subunit ribosomal RNA
Source: RNAcentral
CCUGGCUCAGGAUGAACGCUAGCUACAGGCUUAACACAUGCAAGUCGAGGGGCAGCAUGGUCUUAGCUUGCUAAGGCCGAUGGCGACCGGCGCACGGGUGAGUAACACGUAUCCAACCUGCCGUCUACUCUUGGACAGCCUUCUGAAAGGAAGAUUAAUACAAGAUGGCAUCAUGAGUCCGCAUGUUCACAUGAUUAAAGGUAUUCCGGUAGACGAUGGGGAUGCGUUCCAUUAGAUAGUAGGCGGGGUAACGGCCCACCUAGUCUUCGAUGGAUAGGGGUUCUGAGAGGAAGGUCCCCCACAUUGGAACUGAGACACGGUCCAAACUCCUACGGGAGGCAGCAGUGAGGAAUAUUGGUCAAUGGGCGAGGGCCUGAACCAGCCAAGUAGCGUGAAGGAUGACUGCCCUAUGGGUUGUAAACUUCUUUUAUAAAGGAAUAAAGUCGGGUAUGGAUACCCGUUUGCAUGUACUUUAUGAAUAAGGAUCGGCUAACUCCGUGCCAGCAGCCGCGGUAAUACGGAGGAUCCGAGCGUUAUCCGGAUUUAUUGGGUUUAAAGGGAGCGUAGAUGGAUGUUUAAGUCAGUUGUGAAAGUUUGCGGCUCAACCGUAAAAUUGCAGUUGAUACUGGAUAUCUUGAGUGCAGUUGAGGCAGGCGGAAUUCGUGGUGUAGCGGUGAAAUGCUUAGAUAUCACGAAGAACUCCGAUUGCGAAGGCAGCCUGCUAAGCUGCAACUGACAUUGAGGCUCGAAAGUGUGGGUAUCAAACAGGAUUAGAUACCCUGGUAGUCCACACGGUAAACGAUGAAUACUCGCUGUUUGCGAUAUACUGCAAGCGGCCAAGCGAAAGCGUUAAGUAUUCCACCUGGGGAGUACGCCGGCAACGGUGAAACUCAAAGGAAUUGACGGGGGCCCGCACAAGCGGAGGAACAUGUGGUUUAAUUCGAUGAUACGCGAGGAACCUUACCCGGGCUUAAAUUGCAGAUGAAUUACGGUGAAAGCCGUAAGCCGCAAGGCAUCUGUGAAGGUGCUGCAUGGUUGUCGUCAGCUCGUGCCGUGAGGUGUCGGCUUAAGUGCCAUAACGAGCGCAACCCUUGUUGUCAGUUACUAACAGGUUCCGCUGAGGACUCUGACAAGACUGCCAUCGUAAGAUGUGAGGAAGGUGGGGAUGACGUCAAAUCAGCACGGCCCUUACGUCCGGGGCUACACACGUGUUACAAUGGGGGGUACAGAGGGCCGCUACCACGCGAGUGGAUGCCAAUCCCCAAAACCUCUCUCAGUUCGGACUGGAGUCUGCAACCCGACUCCACGAAGCUGGAUUCGCUAGUAAUCGCGCAUCAGCCACGGCGCGGUGAAUACGUUCCCGGGCCUUGUACACACCGCC